This 262-nucleotide ribosomal RNA is filed under the name uncultured prokaryote. RNAcentral's name for it is "partial 16S ribosomal RNA". It matches the Rfam family "Bacterial small subunit ribosomal RNA", at positions 524 to 784 of the family's 1533-position model. The record is from RNAcentral.
UACGUAGGGUGCGAGCGUUGUCCGGAAUUACUGGGCGUAAAGAGCUCGUAGGUGGUUUGUCACGUCGUCUGUGAAAUUCCGGGGCUUAACCUCGGGCGUGCAGGGGAUACGGGCAAUACUUGAGUGCUGUAGGGGAGACUGGAAUUCCUGGUGUAGCGGUGAAAUGCGCAGAUAUCAGGAGGAACACCAAUGGCGAAGGCAGGUCUCUGGGCAGUUACUGACGCUGAGGAGCGAAAGCAUGGGUAGCGAACAGGAUUAGAUA